UUUGGAAAGGAAAGAUUUUAUCUUUCUUUCUCCACUAUGUACCAUAGAGGGAAAUCUGGGAGAGCCGACUUCAGUAAGGAUUCUUACUUUUUGCUGAUUUCUAUCAGUUUUCGCCAGAUCCUAUCUGCAGGCUCUGGAGUGAGUGGGGUGUCCCAGUGGAUCUCAUCUUGGUCACCAGAAACUGUAGAGGAAGAAAGAUUAUUUCUCCUUCACCCUUUAUGAAUUCCUGACCUGGAAUGAACAUCCAUCAAAAUUGUUUUUAAAGAUUCUCAUCCCUCUCUCAUCAAUCUGUUCUUCAUCUCAAGUGUGAAAGCCCUGGAAUGAGAUAACAAAAGCAAAAACUGAUACAACUUGGCCAAGUUCACAUCAUGUCCAAAAUGAUCUCACCCAUGAGCAAGUAAUUCUGUAAAAAAUAGGAAUGGCUGUUGUCCAUAAGAUGAUUCUACUUCAAGCUCUGCAGAAAGUCCAGAAACAAGGAAACACAAACUGCCUGGCUCCCAACUUGAAAUAAGAGGAAGAGGAAGAAAUAGAAGACAAACACCAACUAUUGUCUUAAAAAUGCUGUUCUAUCAUGUGUAUAUCACCAGGAUCUACAGCUUGAAUUAUAUACAGGUUCAUCAGUGUUGCACCUCUGAAAUCAUGUGGCAUAUGACAAGAAAGUCUCAUUACCUCAAGCCACCUGGAAGUGUGGCUAAUCAACCACGUCUCAGCUCCUGUGAGUUGGUGAUUAUACCUGAAAUGGAUGCCAGCAGGAUCCAUAAACAGCAGCUAGAUGAAGGAAUGAGGAGAUUCCAUUAGUGGGGUAAGCGGAAUAAAUAUUUUAAAACCGUUGGAGAAGAGUUUAAGAGGUCAGACAAAAAUACCUACAGCUGGAAAGUGAGUCUACCAUCUAUUCUGAAACUGAAGGAUAUAUAGAAUUUUUGGUUUAGGGAGUCUUUAAACUCAUCUAACUCAGAAAUCAUCAUGUAGAUUCUGUGGGUCCAUGGAGGGGCUUAAAGUUUUCUGGAAAUGUUUGAUUGGUAUUCCAUUUAUAAAUAGUGGGAUUUUUUUCUUUUUGUUUUUUUGUUGUUUUUUUUUUUUUUUGGUUUUGUUUUUGUUUUUGUUUUUUGCUAUCUGUAACACUGUAAUAAAAAACAGAAAGUAAACUUAAAUAUUAAAUAUAUUGUGUAAAUAUACUUAAAUAUAUUGUGAAGGGAUACCAAAUGGGUGUGUAAAAUACAACUUAACUUGAGAUCCUGACUUUCACAUAAGAUGGGACUCCACGGGGCCCAUCCUGGAGGAAUAUCUGUUAAACCCAGGUGAUGCUACACCCCUCCUCUGUUCAACAUCUACACUGGCUUCCCACUGUACUAUAGGGGCCUAACCCAGGCCCACAGGCGCUUCAGGACACACCCCUUACCUUGCCAACCUCAUUUCUCACCACGUUUUCUUUGCUCACAUAUUAGCCUCCUUGCUGCUCCUAGAAAGUAUCACCCUUGCUCCUAUCUGCCUGCAGUGUUUUUUCCAUAGGCACCACUGUAUUUUGCUUCCUCGCCUCCUUCAAGAAUUUGCUUAUAUGCCAUCUUGUGAAUGAGACCCUUCCUGACCACUGUAUUUAAAAAUUGACUCCCUGUCUCUAAGCCUCUAAUCCUCUUCUCUUACUCAUGUAUUCAUAUAUUUUCUCACCAUCUUACACACUGUGCAAUUCAGUGUUGUGUUUUAUUUUACUGUCUGGCAUCCCCCACUAGUGUGCAAGCUCUCCAAGACAAGGACAAGGGAAUUUGGUUCGCUUUAUUAUACCUAGAACCUCACCACAUCGAAGGUGCUUAGUAAAUCAUGUUGAAUAAAUGAAUACAGGGCUAGAUGAUCAGUGGAAUAAAAGAUCAAAUGCCACCUCAGAAAGGCCAGAGUAAGUGAUCAAAUUUUCUUUAUACAUUUGUGUCUGUGUUUGUGUAUUGUAACACUGAAUGUGUUAAAAUAUAUAUUGACACUUUUAUCUCUUAUUCCAAAUCGUUAUUGCAGUUUGUCUUAUACACACACAGGUGCCCAUGCAUUUAUUGAUCACUUGCUUAAAUACACACACACACGCACACACACACACACACACACGAAUCAUAUUCAAAUAUAGUCUAUAUUUGUUAAGCACCUUCUGUGGUCCAGACCUUAUACUGGGAUUGUUCAUCUCGUUUAACUCAAUUGAUCUGCAAAACAACUUACAAAGCUAUUAAGGUAUUUCAAUAGAAGUUAAACCCUGAAAGCAAGAGAAAGAGGGAUUUUAGAAUUCUCCACCUACCUUCUAGUCACUGCAAGGAUUUGACAGGUAUCAUAAAGGUAGAAAGUCCACAUAUUUGAGUAGACUCUUCCUUAUUCUAGUUCAACAGUCCUCAAACUGAAAUGGCAUUAAAUACAUCACACAGGGAUAUAUAUGGAAGAUCAUGUAUAAUCUACUCCAUAGGCAAAUAGGGAUUAUAAAGAGUAAUUUUUACUCAACCUGAUUUUUAGCUUAUUUUCUAAUUUAACCUGUUAAAAAUGUCACUUCAGUUUUGUCUUAACAUGAACCUCAUUGUGAUUGCAAGUUACCUGGUUUCUUUUUGCCUGAACUUCAGAAUACAGCUUCAACUGUCAUAUAUUUUUUUUAACUUUAUUUAUUUUUGAUAGAGAGAGAGCAAGAGUGAGCUAGGGAGGGGCAGAGA
Leopardus geoffroyi (Geoffroy's cat) is the source of this 2672-nucleotide long non-coding RNA. RefSeq lists it as uncharacterized. NCBI's taxonomy places the organism in Eukaryota, Metazoa, Chordata, Mammalia, Carnivora, Felidae. The transcript is spliced from 4 exons. The record is from RefSeq and is a predicted model, not a curated record.